Homo sapiens (human) is the source of this 426-nucleotide long non-coding RNA. NCBI's taxonomy places the organism in Eukaryota, Metazoa, Chordata, Mammalia, Primates, Hominidae. The record is from Ensembl.
AGAUGAACGUAGUCUUCACUGUGCUACCUGCUCUGAAUAUAUCCAUGCAGUUUCAUUCAAUUUUUCUGGAGGAGACCGAUCAGCAAUUUUCAUAAGAUGGGGGCGAGUAGUAGCGUGAAUGAACCCUGUCUAAAGCAUGUGGAAGACGAGGAGGAACGCAAAGCCCUUAACAUCGAAGCUAUAGGACAAACUGGCUGUAUACUUUGCUUGAAGAAUUAUGAAUCAUGAUAAAAGUAACCUGUAAUGCCCCUAGAAAUAGGGCUCUUGUUUAAUCUCUGCUUAAACAUUGACUAAAGACACAAUGGCCACAUCUAGCAAUGUGAUUCUGGAGACAGUGCUGCGGUCUGCAACGGGACAUGAAUGGCCAAGCCAAGCUUGCAAACAUGGGAUGCUGUGCGUGGGGACAGACCUAUGGAGUCUUGCUCU